AUUGAACGCUGGCGGCAUGCUUUACACAUGCAAGUCGAACGGGCUUAGGUGCUUGCACCUAAGUUAGUGGCGAACGGGUGAGUAAUGCAUCGGAACGUACCGUGUAGUGGGGGAUAACCCGGCGAAAGUCGGAUUAAUACCGCAUACGAUCUAAGGAUGAAAGCAGGGGAUCGCAAGACCUUGCGCUAUACGAGCGGCCGAUGUCGGAUUAGCUAGUUGGUAGGGUAAAGGCCUACCAAGGCAACGAUCCGUAGCGGGUCUGAGAGGAUGACCCGCCACACUGGGACUGAGACACGGCCCAGACUCCUACGGGAGGCAGCAGUGGGGAGUUUUGGACAAUGGGCGAAAGCCUGAUUCAGCCAUGCCGCGUGAGUGAAGAAGGCCUUCGGGUUGUAAAGCUCUUUUGUCCGGGAGCAAAUCCUGUUCACUAAUACUGAGCGGGGCUGAGAGUACCGGAAGAAUAAGCACCGGCUAACUACGUGCCAGCCGCCGCCGUAA
Molecule: ribosomal RNA, 498 nt
Filed under: uncultured bacterium
Lineage: Bacteria
Description: partial 16S ribosomal RNA
Rfam family: Bacterial small subunit ribosomal RNA
Source: RNAcentral